UACGUAGGGGGCAAGCGUUGUCCGGAUUUAUUGGGCGUAAAGAGCGUGUAGGCGGCUAGACAGGUCCGCUGUGAAAACUCGAGGCUCAACCUCGAGAGGUCGGUGGAAACCGUGUGGCUAGAGUCCGGAAGAGGAGAGUGGAAUUCCCGGUGUAGCGGUGAAAAUGCGCAGAUAUCGGGAAAGAACACCCCGUGGCGAAGGCGGCUCUCUGGGGACGGUACUGACGCUGAGACGCGAAAGCGUGGGGAGCGAACAGG
This 257-nucleotide ribosomal RNA is filed under the name uncultured bacterium. RNAcentral describes it as "partial 16S ribosomal RNA". It matches the Rfam family "Bacterial small subunit ribosomal RNA", at positions 524 to 776 of the family's 1533-position model. The record is from RNAcentral.